GAUGAACGCUGGCGGCGUGCCUAAUACAUGCAAGUCGAGCGAACAGACGAGGAGCUUGCUCCUCUGACGUUAGCGGCUGACGGGCGAGUAACACGUGGAUAACCUACCUAUAAGACUGGGAUAACUUCGGGAAACCGGAGCUGAUACCGGAUAAUAUAUUGAACCGCAUGGUUCAAUAGUGAAAGACGGUUUUGCUGUCACUUAUAGAUGGAGCCGCGUCGGAUUAGCUAGUUGGUAAGGUAACGGCUUACCAAGGCAACGAUGCGUAGCCGACCUGAGAGGGUGAUCGGCCACACUGGAACUGAGACACGGUCCAGACUCCUACGGGAGGCAGCAGUAGGGAAUCUUCCGCAAUGGGCGCAAGCCUGACGGAGCCACGCCGCGUGAGUGAUGAAGGUCUUCGGAUCGUAAAACUCUGUUAUUAGGGAAGAACAACUGUGUAAGUAACUCUGCACGUCUUGACGGUACCUAAACAGAAAGCCACGGCUAACUACGUG
RNAcentral lists this ribosomal RNA (497 nucleotides) under uncultured bacterium. RNAcentral describes it as "partial 16S ribosomal RNA". It matches the Rfam family "Bacterial small subunit ribosomal RNA", at positions 28 to 507 of the family's 1533-position model. The record is from RNAcentral.